AAUCAACGCUGGCGGCGUGCCUCAGACAUGCAAGUCGAACGAUUAAAGCUCUCUUCGGAGAGUGUAUAGAGUGGCGCACGGGUGAGUAACACGUAAGUAAUCUACCCUCGAGUGGGGAAUAACAACCGGAAACGGUUGCUAAUACCGCAUAAUGCAGCGGCACCGCAAGGUGACAGUUGUUAAAGAUUUAUCGCUUGAGGAGGAGCUUGCGGCAGAUUAGCUAGUUGGUAGGGUAACGGCUUACCAAGGCUACGAUCUGUAACCGGUCUAAGAGGACGGUCGGUCACACUGACACUGAAUAACGGGUCAGACUCCUACGGGAGGCAGCAGUCGGGAAUUUUGGGCAAUGGGCGAAAGCCUGACCCAGCAACGCCGCGUGAGUGAAGAAGGCCCUCGGGUUGUAAAGCUCUUUUGUCCGGAAAGAAAAGCGCCGGGUUAAUACCCUGGUGUCCUGACGGUACCGGAAGAAUAAGCACCGGCUAACUUCGUG
This 490-nucleotide ribosomal RNA is filed under the name uncultured bacterium. Its description in RNAcentral is "bacterial SSU rRNA". It matches the Rfam family "Bacterial small subunit ribosomal RNA", at positions 32 to 507 of the family's 1533-position model. The record is from RNAcentral.